CCCCAGCCAUGGGGGGAUUUCAUUCUGAGUGAUUCUGACCUUGGGAUGGAAUAAGGCUCAUCCUAAUUCUGUAUGUCCUCCUAAAAGAUGUUGGGAGGUAGAGAUAAUGGUAACUUGGAGACUAGGGAAAAGUUAUAUUUAGUUUCACGAUGACUUUAGUUUUUCUAAGAAUCAAAAGAAAAGAAGGUGGAGUUGAUGUGUAUUAGGAUUCUCAGCAAUUAAGGAAACAAACAGAAACACUGAGUUUAUAAGGAAGAAAUUAAAGCUUAAGGAAAUAAUUUAUUACUGUUUGGAGCCUGGAUUUUUAGGCCCAAGAGCAGUCUAUGUAUAUUCUAGACUUCAUAAAAAUAUAUAGUCCAAUUGAAAUGGGAGUAGGUAUUUAAAGAGGAUGAGAAGAUAAAAGAGAAUGGAGGUUUUCUGAAGCCAUUUGUAUAUCUGAGUCUACCAGUCCAAAGUACAAACAUCCUGAGUGAAGCAGACGAUUUAUGAUACAGAAGUCACAAGGUUCUGCCCCGAGGCAAUGGGGGGGGGGAAUAGG
Molecule: long non-coding RNA, 538 nt
Organism: Myotis davidii
Lineage: Eukaryota; Metazoa; Chordata; Mammalia; Chiroptera; Vespertilionidae
Exons: 2
Source: RefSeq, a predicted model, not a curated record